Dendronephthya gigantea is the source of this 393-nucleotide long non-coding RNA. RefSeq lists it as uncharacterized. The transcript is spliced from 3 exons. The record is from RefSeq and is a predicted model, not a curated record. Lineage: Eukaryota; Metazoa; Cnidaria; Anthozoa; Malacalcyonacea; Nephtheidae.
GGUAUACUUAUGUCUGCCGGAGAGCAUUCUUGUUAAGUUGCCAGAACUUUCAGUCUAAUGCUCAUGUGAUAUAGGUCAUCGCUUUCUAAGCGAUAUUACAGCCAUUGAGUACUUAGAAAGAAACAGAUGGUUUUCUCUGUAUCAAAGAUGUCAUUUGGAAGUGUAUGAAGGCGACGGAGACACGAGUUCCUGUGAUAAACUUAUAUUGACAUCAUACCCACAGGAUUUCAGCACCAGACAACCGAGUUACCUGGAAACGAAGCUAAGCCAUUUGUCGCAGAAAACCCAGAGGUUAUUCUAACAUAGAAUUACCCGUGAUAAAUAUCGUAUCCAUAAUUGAUCAAAUGCUCUGAAGCUCCGAGAUAAGUCAAAGCCAUUCUCAUACGCCGGUUC